GUCUACAAAGUUCUGUCUUAUGGGCACCUCCACAUGCUUCACAUUUAGACUGGUUUUGUUGAAUAGUCUCUCCAUAAGAUCCCUACUUUUCUGAUUGCCCGGACCUAUUACGAGAUUUUGCUGUCCUGCUAGAAUUCUAUCCACUAUGAGUAUCAUCAUCCCUGCUCGUCUUCUUUUGUAUUCUAUCUUUUGAAUCUUGUGUUUCCUUCCAGACAAUUUCCAUAUUCUUAGCCCUAUCUACCAAGUCAUCAUAGUUUGUUGAGUGCACUGCGGCCAAACCCCAACGUAAGUGAGGCUUCAAUCCUUCUUCAAAUCUCCUCAUCCGGGACUCUCCAUCUAUGAUGAGGGUGGGAGCAAACCGAGCUAACCUGUCAAACUCUACCUCAUACUCAUCCAUUGUCAUAGUUCCUUGAGACAGAUUUAGAAAUUUCCUCUCUAGCUCCCUAAGGUGACUUGAAG
RNAcentral lists this long non-coding RNA (459 nucleotides) under Phoenix dactylifera (date palm). Its description in RNAcentral is "long non-coding RNA (PDAC_LNC012880)". Lineage: Eukaryota; Viridiplantae; Streptophyta; Magnoliopsida; Arecales; Arecaceae. The record is from RNAcentral.